Molecule: ribosomal RNA, 495 nt
Filed under: uncultured bacterium
Lineage: Bacteria
Description: partial 16S ribosomal RNA
Rfam family: Bacterial small subunit ribosomal RNA
Source: RNAcentral
GACGAACGCUGGCGGCGUGCCUAAUACAUGCAAGUAGAACGCUGAAGGAGGAGCUUGCUUCUCUGGAUGAGUUGCGAACGGGUGAGUAACGCGUAGGUAACCUGCCUGGUAGCGGGGGAUAACUACUGGAAACGAUAGCUAAUACCGCAUAAUAGUAGAUGUUGCAUGACAUUUGCUUAAAAGGUGCAAUUGCAUCACUACCAGAUGGACCUGCGUUGUAUUAGCUAGUUGGUGAGGUAACGGCUCACCAAGGCGACGAUACAUAGCCGACCUGAGAGGGGGAUCGGCCACACUGGGACUGAGACACGGCCCAGACUCCUACGGGAGGCAGCAGUAGGGAAUCUUCGGCAAUGGACGGAAGUCUGACCGAGCAACGCCGCGUGAGUGAAGAAGGUUUUCGGAUCGUAAAGCUCUGUUGUAAGAGAAGAACGAGUGUGAGAGUGGAAAGUUCACACUGUGACGGUAUCUUACCAGAAAGAGACGGCUAACUACGUG